AAGUCAAGCAUACCUAUUAAUACCAUACAUCACAAUGUUUCAUCCAUACCAUAUGUUAAGGUGAUAAUCAUCACCAAAUACAUCAAAAUGUAAAUUAAAAAUCUCAAAAUAUCUGAUCUUGCUAUUCAUCCAAACAACCAUCAUGUAGACAAAAAUAUUCUUAUACCAAAAACUGAAUUCUGCUUGUAGACAACUCCACCAUGAUCAUCUGAACAAAAGCUAUCCAUGUACCAAAAACUAGAUUUCACAUGCUCAUAACUCCACCAUANNNNNNNNNNNNNNNNNNNNGACAACUCCACCAUGAUCAUCUGAACAAAAGCUAUCCAUGUACCAAAAACUAGAUUUCACAUGCUCAUAACUCCACCAUAUAUCUGAGAAAGCAAAAAAGAAUACACAAUCAAUAACCACAUGUGAAAAAUAAUAAACUAAAAUUCAAGUAUAAGUUCACAAUGACAUUUCGCUUAAUUUGGUCAAAAUCUCUAAAUAACCUACGUAAUAAAAUGAGAAUACAUACCAACGAGUAUUUGUACCACCAGUUGAAUACAUGGCCCCAUCAUGAUGGAUAGAUGACUUGUGCGUUUGAGUCUUUUCCUUUCAGAACUUUGUCACCAAACUUGUAAGAUGUGCAAUUUGCUUCUGUUCUUCCUCUCGCUCUUUCCUUUCCUCCUCACACUCUCUCUUCUCCUGCUCCAAUUGCCUCCGCAGCUCCUCACGCUCCAUCUCACGCUGGUAAGUUUUAGGAGGAAGCUGGUAAUCCUCAACUGGUGUAAUGCUGACACAAAGAUCAGCUAUAGUUGC
This 798-nucleotide long non-coding RNA is filed under the name Phoenix dactylifera (date palm). Its description in RNAcentral is "long non-coding RNA (PDAC_LNC001438)". The record is from RNAcentral. Lineage: Eukaryota; Viridiplantae; Streptophyta; Magnoliopsida; Arecales; Arecaceae.